AGUAUUUUGACUAUACAAAGGUAUUGUAAUAAGAUUUUAAUUGAAUGCUAAAAGAAUGGAAAUUUAAAAAAAAACUUUUUUAAAAAUAAAAAUUGAAUUUUUUUUAAUUUGUGCAAAAACAAUUAUACUUAUUAAAGACAAGAAGACCCUAAGAAUUUAAGAUUUUACAAUUAAAAAGUUUUUUUUUUUAAAAUCUUGAUUGGGGCGAUCAAAAAAUAUUAAUAACUUUUUAAAAUUUAAAUUGAUCUAUUAUUAAUAAACUAAUGAAUUAAAUACUCUAGGGAUAACAGCGUAAUAAUUUUUGAUAGAUCUUAUUGACAAAAUAGUUUGCGACCUCGAUGUUGGAUUAGGAUUCUUUUUUAAUGAAGAAGUUAAAAAAAGAAGUUUGUUCAACUUUUAAAUUCCU
This 406-nucleotide ribosomal RNA is filed under the name Hyalomma marginatum. RNAcentral's name for it is "partial large subunit ribosomal RNA". Lineage: Eukaryota; Metazoa; Arthropoda; Arachnida; Ixodida; Ixodidae. The record is from RNAcentral.